Molecule: long non-coding RNA, 1843 nt
Organism: Anguilla anguilla (European eel)
Lineage: Eukaryota; Metazoa; Chordata; Actinopteri; Anguilliformes; Anguillidae
Exons: 2
Source: RefSeq, a predicted model, not a curated record
AUGGUUUUUGCAAGGGAAGGUCAUGCCUGACAAACCUGCUGGUAUUCUUUGAAGAAGCUAACAAGUCUUUUGGUUAUAAUGAGGCUCAUGAUAUUUUGUAGAUUUCCAAAAGGCAUUUGAUAACGUACCACAUGGGAGGCUUGUUAGCAAAAUGAAGACAAUAGGAAUUAGAGGAGGUGUUUCAGAGUGGAUUUGGAACUGGCUACAGGGUAGAACCAUAGACUCUUUAAGAAUAUGGACAAAGCCACUGUGACGUCACCGAUUGACUCUCUGUGGGUCUGGAAAAAACGUAUUGAAGCCUAGGAAGUGAUUGACAGUCCGGAGUGGAAAAGCCAUUAACCUGCAAGCUUACUUCACUUAUCCAUCACCCUAAAGUGAUUGCUGAACGAACUUGAGGUAAUCUGGCUGUCUGCCGUUAUGUUUUAUAAUAUAUUAUCAAAUGUUUAUGGAGUUUAAUUUCCAUCCAUGACUCUACUGUUAUUUCAUUGCGUCAUAUGUAUGAAAUUAACAAUUUAAUUAUGUUCAGUUAUCUUCAAUUUAUGUUUCUUAGCUAAACAUCAGCGAGUAUGCUUAGCUAGCAUACCAGCUUGACAGAGCUAGGUAGGCUAGCCAUGGUUAGCUCAUGCAUUAGCGAUAAAUGUCCCAUAGAACUGCUGUUCACCUAGCAAGUUCUCACCGAAGGUUUUCGCCCCAGUCAGUUAGUCUAAUGAGCCAAUAACUGUUACACCACCACCGUUUGUGGUGUUCACUCGCUGGGAGACACUAGCUAACCUUUCGCAAGUCACGUUAACCAAGUAGAAAUUAACAUCGUCAGCGGUGAUUAACAAAUCUACCAAGUAUUUUAAUCAUGAUUUUGCAGGCUUGAAUUUCAAAUUAUUUGCAUUUUCUUGUAGACCAUUAAGAGCAAAGGAGAAGAGCCAACAUCCUAAUUGUGAAUUUGUCUGUACGCACAGUUUACAGCAAAGUAUUAGUUUUUUUUAUGUGAAAGAAAACCGACGUGUGCCCCAGUAACGGAUGCUGAGCUGAAAAAUGAGCAGGCAGAAAAUCCCUUAAACGUAUCAACGUUAUUAUUGGUAAUCUCUGAAAAUGUUCAUGGCAAAGAUCUGGAAUACGCAGAUUUUGUUAUUUGAACAAGCGCAGGUUAGAUAGCCUUUUUGAGUUUAUAAUUACUGUAAUAAAUACACCUGUAUUUACAAUAAUAUCAGCAUGAUAAUUAUUGUUUGUUAAUUAACUUUUAGAUUCAGUGUGACUCUUGUAAAAGAUGGCUCCAUCAAUUAUGCCUAGGCAUGAGUACACCACUCCUCAACAAGAAAACCAAAGGAUUUCCACAACCAGUGUGAUGUGCUGGUUCCUCUGUUGAUGUUGUGUCUAUCUGCUGUUUGUCUGCUGUGUGUUUUUAAAAAAUUCCCAAACCUUUUUACAAGAGGUGUUUUGUCUGUUGACGAACUUUAUAGUUCAGAAAUGUAUAUACAUUUUAGUCAAGUGUGUUAUUCCCGUUUUUCAUAAAACCAAGGGCUGUGCAACGUGUCAGUAUUCUGUGAGCAAUCCAGUAGUAAUUUGGGGUGUCUAGGUCAUGUGACCAAAAAGCUAUUGAAAUUCCUAACUUUGAAAUAUUCAUAUAAAAUUGCAUGAGAUGAAAAUGGACAAAGCAAAGGCUGUGCAACCUGUGUACAUUGUUUGUGAACAAUUAAAAAGUGGUUUGAAGUUUCUAGAUCCUUUUGUCUAGGAGCUAUUGAAAUUGUAAGUUAAAAUCUCAAACUAAAUUUGUUUAAAAUAUUCAAACACUGAUAUGAAUAAACCAAUGGCUGUGCAACAUUCCUGCACACGUUGCAGUUUAAAAUUG